Long non-coding RNA from Gallus gallus (chicken), 657 nucleotides. The record is from Ensembl. NCBI's taxonomy places the organism in Eukaryota, Metazoa, Chordata, Aves, Galliformes, Phasianidae.
GGAAACUCAUUUAGCACAUAAUGAAGGUGCUGAGAAGAAAAUUAAUCAAAGCUCUGAAAGAAAGGGAGAGAAACUCUUUCAUCUCCUCCUCCACCAAAGAUCCAGUUUGUCUCUCACAAGGAACGCUUUCCAGACAAUCCUGGCUGCUGUUUUUAAAAGGAGAGCAUAGAAAGCAGGAGGAGAAAAGAGCCUGGUUCAACAUGGUGGCCUAUCCGAGAGCAGGGCUGCAAGGAGCUGCUGUAUAAGGGUGGUAGACCAGAGCCCAGCAGGGGAAUUUCUCAAUGCUGGUGACUGAAUUCAGCUUAGAAAAAGCUUAAGGAGGCACUUUGCCACGUUAUACCUGGCAUUCUUCAACUAAUAGCAGUCCUCCCCUGUAUCCUCCGAAGAGCAUUUUGAAAAUCCAGUAUUACUUCUAUACACCACCAAGACAGUGCCGGAAUAAAGGUCUCAAAACUUUCAUUAAACCCUUCAAAACUAAAUGGCUUCACCACGCCAUUAGGAACGUGCCAUGACCCAGGGCCACCUUGUCACCCCAUCCCAUUGCAUUACCGCUGCACUGUGAUGUGCUGCUGCGGAGCACCGCAGAGCAUCAGAGCAUUCGGCUGCAGCUCCUGCCAACAGAAGGCAGCGUGACUUUGCUGUCAGGACUGUGGGGUG